GGAGUGCACGCACAUGCACAUCCACACCGGCAGCUACAAAGGCAGCAGAAACAUACAAGCCACAAAGGACUCGGAGGGGUCCGCGACAGUUCUCUCCCUCCACACACACAACACACACACACACACACCUCGCGCCUCCAGCAAUGAAGAGGCGGCGCGGCUUGCUUGAGAUCCACAGCGUGGCGGCCCGACCGCACAAGCGAGGCGGCACCGAGACAACGCGGGAGCACCACUUCCCGCUCUACUCGCACCCUAUGUUUCGUGCCGCACGGCACAACGCAAAUGCGGUGCAGGAUGCCGUCGUAGAACAGUCCGACCGCGUCGAUCCACGCGCGCUUGACGCGGCUCUUGAGAACAUGGUGACACAGCUCCUGCAGCGGCAGCUGAGUCAGCACGAGGCCGAAGGGAACACAUCUCCCACCCUUGCAAAGAAGGAUCUUAUCGUCACCGAGAGUGAGCUGCUAGCGCUCCUCGCCGAAGCGACACACGCCACGCCACUGUCACCGCACCCGCAGCAACCGCCGUCGGCGUUUCCGCCUAUUAGACCAGAGGCAAUCGCGGCGCUCGCCACUGCAGCCGUCGCGUCCUCGCCACCACCGCAGCAAGGGCCGUUCAUUCCGAAUCAGGGCUACCACACCACACACCCUCCCCUGCAGUCCAACGGUGACGCCGAGCGCCGCGUGGGGCCACCGCCGCGCACCCAGGCUUCAUCCUUCAACAGCGCAGCCUCGGCCUUAGGUGGCGACGAGCCGGAAGAGCUCAACGUCGUGUCGGUCGACACCCUUCAGCAAGCUGCUCUGAGAAGUCGCGGGCGCAUGGACGAACAAGCGGUGCCGCGGCUCCAGCCGCUGUCCGAAAGGGCGGUAUCGACGAUUUCGGGUCGGACGACAAGGCAGCAGCAUCCUCCUACGACGUCGCUCUACUCGCUGCUCCCGUGCCUGGUGGCUUCACCAGGGCUGACGGCGGCCUCGGUGCUUCCUGCCACCGUCUCUUCAUCUCCGAGCCCGUCACCGUCUUCAGUGACGUUUCGUGAAAUGGACCGCUGGCCGGGUACCGGCACAGGCCCCGUCGCACAGCAGUCUGUGGAUGCGCAGCAGCUUCACCAAGUCCCCGACGCCGUCUUCGCCGCCAUGGACGUGCUCAUGGACGGCAACAGCUGCUGCAUGCGGCGGCGCCAGCGCCUGGUAGCGACGAACGGGAACAAGGCUGAAUCACUUUCGCUGAAUCCGAGGUGCCUUCCCGGAAGCGGAGGCGGCGCUUCAGGAGGCUCCUGCUUCGCCUUCGGAUGUGGCGGCAAGGGUGCGAGUCUCAACCGCAUGUACGUCCCUGUAGCGCAGAACACGCUGCCUGCCCCACCGCCGCCACGCACCGCCGCGGAGGCGAAAGCGCGCCGCAUCCUGGAGGGCCAGCGACGCAAGCAGCGGCUGCAAAAUCAGCAGCAGCAUCUUGUGUCCAACUCCUCUUUGGUGGCUGGCGGCGGCAACAUCGCGCCGCUCAGCUCCUCCCUCGUCGAGUUUCGCAGCGGCACUGCCAGUCUACCAACAGAGCCUCUCAGAUGGCGCCACAUAGACCGGUCCGGUUCAAGGAGCCACGGCAGUACGCACCCGGCGCCGCCCUCUGCCGCCUCUUCUGUGAGCCGCAGUGCCGCUGUGGUGGUCGGGGCCGCUUCAACUCUACCGCUCACCCAAGAGGCCUCACUGCCCUUCACUCUUCGUGGCAUCGCGGGUGAGCCCGUGUACAUGCAGGCCAUCAGCUCUGCAAACUGCUUUGUUGGCCCGCGUCUUUGAUCUCGAAGAAGCAGCAUGGCUCGCGUCGCACAUUCGAGUGCGUCCGUGUGCGGCGGCACGCGAGACCAACCGCGGAGGGUUACUCCGUCCGUGCUUGUCUGCUCGUCCCACGCGCAUGUUUUGUGCGGCGGUCUCUGCAAGUCCUGCGCAUACGGCGACCGCUGCCGCCGCUCCUGCUGUUGUCGCCAUCUGCUAUCAUAUGUACUUUCCCUCGUGUUGGUUUCCGCGUUGGCGCCCGACGUCACGAACAGAAAGAUGCGCACGUGGGUGCAUGUGUACAUGUGGGUGACUCUGGAGAGAGACACAGUUAUGUGUGUGUAGGUGUGUGUGUGUGUGUGUGGUAUAUAUGUAUAUAUGUAUGUAUGUGUAUACUCAAGUGUAAGAGAGCGAGAAGACAGCACGGAUGUGAGCAGAAAC
This 2204-nucleotide unclassified non-coding RNA is filed under the name Leishmania donovani. RNAcentral describes it as "gene:LdHU3.24.1190(CDS-product:hypothetical_prote in_conserved)". Lineage: Eukaryota; Euglenozoa; Kinetoplastea; Trypanosomatida; Trypanosomatidae. The record is from RNAcentral.